CUGCUCAGGACGAACGCUGGCGGCGUGCCUAAUACAUGCAAGUCGAGCGGACAGAUGGGAGCUUGCUCCCUGAUGUUAGCGGCGGACGGGUGAGUAACACGUGGGUAACCUGCCUGUAAGACUGGGAUAACUCCGGGAAACCGGGGCUAAUACCGGAUGCUUGAUUGAACCGCAUGGUUCAAUUAUAAAAGGUGGCUUUUAGCUACCACUUACAGAUGGACCCGCGGCGCAUUAGCUAGUUGGUGAGGUAACGGCUCACCAAGGCAACGAUGCGUAGCCGACCUGAGAGGGUGAUCGGCCACACUGGGACUGAGACACGGCCCAGACUCCUACGGGAGGCAGCAGUAGGGAAUCUUCCGCAAUGGACGAAAGUCUGACGGAGCAACGCCGCGUGAGUGAUGAAGGUUUUCGGAUCGUAAAACUCUGUUGUUAGGGAAGAACAAGUACCGUUCGAAUAGGGCGGUACCUUGACGGUACCUAACCAGAAAGCCACGGCUAACUACGUGCCAGCAGCCGCGGUAAUACGUAGGUGGCAAGCGUUGUCCGGAAUUAUUGGGCGUAAAGCGCGCGCAGGCGGUUUCUUAAGUCUGAUGUGAAAGCCCCCGGCUCAACCGGGGAGGGUCAUUGGAAACUGGGGAACUUGAGUGCAGAAGAGGAGAGUGGAAUUCCACGUGUAGCGGUGAAAUGCGUAGAGAUGUGGAGGAACACCAGUGGCGAAGGCGACUCUCUGGUCUGUAACUGACGCUGAGCG
This 751-nucleotide ribosomal RNA is filed under the name Bacillus sp. THJ-B104. RNAcentral describes it as "bacterial SSU rRNA". It matches the Rfam family "Bacterial small subunit ribosomal RNA", at positions 20 to 753 of the family's 1533-position model. Lineage: Bacteria; Bacillati; Bacillota; Bacilli; Caryophanales; Bacillaceae. The record is from RNAcentral.